This 433-nucleotide ribosomal RNA is filed under the name uncultured bacterium. Its description in RNAcentral is "bacterial SSU rRNA". It matches the Rfam family "Bacterial small subunit ribosomal RNA", at positions 343 to 793 of the family's 1533-position model. The record is from RNAcentral.
UGGAGGCAGCAGUGGGGAAUCUUGCACAAUGGGGGAAACCCUGAUGCAGCGACGCCGCGUGAGCGAUGAAGCCCUUCGGGGUGUAAAGCUCUUUCGGCGGGAACGAUAAUGACGGUACCCGAAGAAGAAGCUGCGGCUAACUACGUGCCAGCAGCCGCGGUAAUACGUAGGCAGCAAGCGUUGUUCGGAGUUACUGGGCGUAAAGAGUGUGUAGGCGGUUCCCCAAGUUCGGUGUGAAAUCUCCCGGCUCAACUGGGAGGGUGCGCCGGAAACUGGGGGGCUUGAGUGUGGGAGAGGAAAGCGGAAUUCCUGGUGUAGCGGUGAAAUGCGUAGAUAUCAGGAGGAACACCUGUGGUGUAGACGGCUUUCUGGACCACGACUGACGCUGAGACACGAAAGCGUGGGGAGCAAACAGGAUUAGAUACCCCAGUAC